GAGUUUCUGAUCAUGGCUCAGGACGAACGCUGGCGGCGUGCUUAACACAUGCAAGUCGAACGAUGAAGCCUAGCUUGCUAGGUGGAUUAGUGGCGAACGGGUGAGUAAUACGUGAGUCGACCUACCUUUGACUCUGGGAUAAGCCUGGGAAACUGGGUCUAAUACCGGAUACGACCAAUCUCCGCAUGGGGUGUUGGUGGAAAGCGUUAUGGAGUGGUUUUAGAUGGGCUCACGGCCUAUCAGCUUGUUGGUGAGGUAAUGGCUUACCAAGGCGACGACGGGUAGCCGGCCUGAGAGGGUGACCGGCCACACUGGGACUGAGACACGGCCCAGACUCCUACGGGAGGCAGCAGUGGGGAAUAUUGCACAAUGGGCGCAAGCCUGAUGCAGCGACGCCGCGUGAGGGAUGACGGCCUUCGGGUUGUAAACCUCUGUUAGCAUCGAAGAAGCGAAAGUGACGGUAGGUGCAGAGAAAGCGCCGGCUAACUACGUGCCAGCAGCCGCGGUAAUACGUAGGGCGCGAGCGUUGUCCGGAAUUAUUGGGCGUAAAGAGCUUGUAGGCGGUUGGUCGCGUCUGCUGUGAAAGGCUGGGGCUUAACCCUGGUUUUGCAGUGGGUACGGGCUAACUAGAGUGCAGUAGGGGAGACUGGAAUUCCUGGUGUAGCGGUGGAAUGCGCAGAUAUCAGGAGGAACACCGAUGGCGAAGGCAGGUCUCUGGGCUGUAACUGACGCUGAGAAGCGAAAGCAUGGGGAGCGAACAGGAUUAGAUACCCUGGUAGUCCAUGCCGUAAACGUUGGGCACUAGGUGUGGGGGACAUUCCACGUUUUCCGCGCCGUAGCUAACGCAUUAAGUGCCCCGCCUGGGGAGUACGGCCGCAAGGCUAAAACUCAAAGAAAUUGACGGGGGCCCGCACAAGCGGCGGAGCAUGCGGAUUAAUUCGAUGCAACGCGAAGAACCUUACCAAGGCUUGACAUAUACUGGACUGCGUCAGAGAUGGCGUUUCCCUUCGGGGCUGGUAUACAGGUGGUGCAUGGUUGUCGUCAGCUCGUGUCGUGAGAUGUUGGGUUAAGUCCCGCAACGAGCGCAACCCUCGUUCUAUGUUGCCAGCACGUGAUGGUGGGGACUCAUAGGAGACUGCCGGGGUCAAACUCGGAGGAAGGUGGGGAUGACGUCAAAUCAUCAUGCCCCUUAUGUCUUGGGCUUCACGCAUGCUACAAUGGCCGGUACAGAGGGUUGCGAUACUGUGAGGUGGAGCUAAUCCCUAAAAAGCCGGUCUCAGUUUCGGAUUGGGGUCUGCAAACUCGACCCCUUGAAGUCGGAGUCGCUAGUAAUCGCAGAUCAGCAAACGCUGCGGUAAAUACGUUCCCGGGCCUUGUACCCACCGCCC
RNAcentral lists this ribosomal RNA (1388 nucleotides) under uncultured bacterium. RNAcentral describes it as "bacterial SSU rRNA". It matches the Rfam family "Bacterial small subunit ribosomal RNA". The record is from RNAcentral.